UACGAACGCUGGCGGCGUGCUUAACACAUGCAAGUCGAACGAAGUGGCGAACGGGUUAGUAACGCGUAAUCAACCUGCCCUUCAGAGGGGGACAAUAGUUUUCAAUGACUGCUAAUACCGCAUACUGACGGUGUGGAUUGCGUCUGAUCAGCUAGUUGGAUGGGGAACCGCCACCCAAGGCGAUGAUCAGUAGCCGGUCUGAGAGGAUGAACGGCCACAUGGGGACUGAGACACGGCCCAGACUCCUACGGGGGGCAGCAGUGGGGAAUCUUCCGUAAUGGACGAAAGUCUGACGGAGCAACGGCGCGUGAGUGAUGACGGCCUUCGGGUUGGAAAGCUCUGUUAAUCGGGACGCGGUACCGGAAUAGAAAGCCACGGCUAACUACGUGCCAGCAGCCGCGGUAAUAC
This 408-nucleotide ribosomal RNA is filed under the name uncultured bacterium. Its description in RNAcentral is "partial 16S ribosomal RNA". It matches the Rfam family "Bacterial small subunit ribosomal RNA", at positions 29 to 526 of the family's 1533-position model. The record is from RNAcentral.